This 202-nucleotide ribosomal RNA is filed under the name Streptococcus pneumoniae. RNAcentral describes it as "partial 23S ribosomal RNA". It matches the Rfam family "Bacterial large subunit ribosomal RNA", at positions 1 to 200 of the family's 2925-position model. Lineage: Bacteria; Bacillati; Bacillota; Bacilli; Lactobacillales; Streptococcaceae. The record is from RNAcentral.
GGUUAAGUUAAUAAGGGCGCACGGUGGAUGCCUUGGCACUAGGAGCCGAAGAAGGACGGCACUAACACCGAUAUGCCUCGGGGAGCUGUAAGUGAGCUGUGAUCCGGGGAUUUCCGAAUGGGGAAACCCACUGUUCGUAAUGGAGCAGUAUCCAUGUGUGAAUACAUAGCACAUGAGAAGGCAGACUCAGGGAACUGAAACA